CCUACGGGAGGCAGCAGUAGGGAAUAUUGCUCAAUGGGGGAAACCCUGAAGCAGCAACGCCGCGUGGAGGAUGAAGGUUUUCGGAUUGUAAACUCCUUUUGUUAGAGAAGAUAAUGACGGUAUCUAACGAAUAAGCACCGGCUAACUCCGUGCCAGCAGCCGCGGGAAUACGGAGGGUGCAAGCGUUACUCGGAAUCACUGGGCGUAAAGAGCGCGUAGGCGGGAUAGCAAGUCAGAUGUGAAAUCCUAUGGCUUAACCAUAGAACUGCAUUUGAAACUGUUAUUCUAGAGUAUGGGAGAGGUAGGUGGAAUGCUUGGUGUAGGGGUAAAAUCCGUAGAGAUCAAGCGGAAUACUCAUUGCGAAGGCGACCUGCUAGAACAUAACUGACGCUGAUGCGCGAAAGCGUGGGGAGCAAACAGGAUUAGAUACCCUAGUAGUC
RNAcentral lists this ribosomal RNA (440 nucleotides) under uncultured bacterium. RNAcentral's name for it is "partial 16S ribosomal RNA". It matches the Rfam family "Bacterial small subunit ribosomal RNA", at positions 338 to 795 of the family's 1533-position model. The record is from RNAcentral.